UACGGAGGAUGCGAGCGUUAUCCGGAUUUAUUGGGUUUAAAGGGUGCGUAGGUUGUUUUUUAAGUCAGCGGUCAAAGCCCGGGGCUCAACCCCGGCCCGCCGUUGAAACUGGCUGGCUUGAGUUGGGGAAAGGCAGGCGGAAUGCGCGGUGUAGCGGUGAAAUGCAUAGAUAUCGCGCAGAACUCCGAUUGCGAAGGCAGCAUACCGGCGCCCGACUGACGCUGAAGCACGAAAGCGUGGGUAUCGAACAGG
RNAcentral lists this ribosomal RNA (252 nucleotides) under uncultured Bacteroidales bacterium. Its description in RNAcentral is "partial 16S ribosomal RNA". It matches the Rfam family "Bacterial small subunit ribosomal RNA", at positions 524 to 776 of the family's 1533-position model. The record is from RNAcentral. Lineage: Bacteria; Pseudomonadati; Bacteroidota; Bacteroidia; Bacteroidales.